GAUGAACGCUGGCGGUAUGCCUUACACAUGCAAGUCGUACGAGAGUUUUAACUCAAGUGGCGGACGGGUGAGUAACACGUAAGAAUUUGCCUCUAGGAGGGGGAUAACAACUGGAAACGGUUGCUAAUACCCCAUAUGCUUUCGAGUGAAAUGGAUUUCCGCCUAGAGAGAAGCUUGCGGCUGAUUAGCUUGUUGGUGAGGUAAUGGCUCACCAAGGCGACGAUCAGUAUCUGGUUUGAGAGGACGAUCAGACACACUGGAACUGAGACACGGUCCAGACUCCUACGGGAGGCAGCAGUGGGAAUUUUCCGCAAUGGGCGAAAGCCUGACGGAGCAAUACCGCGUGAGGGAUGACGGCCUAUGGGUUGUAAACCUCUUUUUCAGGAGGAUAAUGACGUGUACCUGAAGAAUAAGCAUCGGCUAACUCCGUGCCAGCAGCCGCGGUAA
This 447-nucleotide ribosomal RNA is filed under the name uncultured bacterium. RNAcentral's name for it is "bacterial SSU rRNA". It matches the Rfam family "Bacterial small subunit ribosomal RNA", at positions 28 to 523 of the family's 1533-position model. The record is from RNAcentral.